RNAcentral lists this ribosomal RNA (253 nucleotides) under uncultured bacterium. RNAcentral describes it as "partial 16S ribosomal RNA". It matches the Rfam family "Bacterial small subunit ribosomal RNA", at positions 524 to 776 of the family's 1533-position model. The record is from RNAcentral.
GACGAACCGUGCGAACGUUGUUCGGAAUCACUGGGCUUAAAGGGCGCGUAGGCGGGUUUGCAAGUCUGCGGUGAAAGCCCCCAGCUUAACUGGGGAAGUGCCGUGGAUACUGCGAAUCUCGAGGAGGGUAGGGGCAUCUGGAACAUUGGGUGGAGCGGUGAAAUGCGUUGAUAUCCAAUGGAACUCCGGUGGCGAAGGCGAGGUGCUGGACCCUUUCUGACGCUGAGGCGCGAAAGCCAGGGGAGCGAACGGG